AUUUUAUUUUAUUAUUUUUUAUUUUUUACAGCAGAAUAAGAAAGCUAAGCAAAAGACAGCUGUAAAGCGUUCUUCCCUCACUAAACUGAAGGAUGGGCUAUAAUUCUGCAACCUCCUUUGAGAUGGAGAUAUCCUGGAUACUUAGCUCAGCGGGAUGUUUGAGAAUGAAUGUGAAUUCUUCCACAAGGAUGAGAGCAAACAGAUAACUUUAUUUUCAUGCACAACUGUGAUUAAAAUGUAUAUAUAAAUAUGAACCCAGAAAAGAAUAAUGAAAUUGAUAUCCCCCCCACCCCUCCCUCUGAAAUUAAGUGGACUCAUCAAUAGAAAAGGUAU
Molecule: long non-coding RNA, 333 nt
Filed under: Anser brachyrhynchus (Pink-footed goose)
Lineage: Eukaryota; Metazoa; Chordata; Aves; Anseriformes; Anatidae
Description: lncRNA (ENSABRG00000020259.1)
Source: RNAcentral